RNAcentral lists this non-coding RNA (21 nucleotides) under Caenorhabditis elegans. The record is from RNAcentral. Lineage: Eukaryota; Metazoa; Nematoda; Chromadorea; Rhabditida; Rhabditidae.
UAGUUAAAUCUUACUUUAGAA